Long non-coding RNA from Tetranychus urticae (two-spotted spider mite), 373 nucleotides. RefSeq lists it as uncharacterized. The record is from RefSeq and is a predicted model, not a curated record. NCBI's taxonomy places the organism in Eukaryota, Metazoa, Arthropoda, Arachnida, Trombidiformes, Tetranychidae.
AUCAUCGACUAUUUGUCAUUAUUUAACUUCAUUAUUUAAUUUUCAUCAUUAGUAACCCAACUCUCAACAUCAUGAGCUGACAGUGUUGAUGGGAUCCCGAUUAUUGACUGGUUCCGGUUCCUCGUGAAUAGUCAACUUAUUGAUUCAAUCUGGGCCCCCGCAUGAUGAGGAUGAUGAUAAACAAGAUGAUCAAAAGCAGCCUGAUCAACUGAAUUAUGUUCAUAAAUUUGAGAUGGAAAGAGGAGUCUGGUUAAAUGAGAUUGCAAUUGAAAAACAUAUGCUUAUGAAUUACCAGUAAAAACAACUUGUAACUACACCUUAUGUUGGAAGAGGAAAAUGAGAACAGCCAAAGAAGAGAGAAAAGAGGAGAGAA